This 252-nucleotide ribosomal RNA is filed under the name uncultured bacterium. RNAcentral's name for it is "partial 16S ribosomal RNA". It matches the Rfam family "Bacterial small subunit ribosomal RNA", at positions 524 to 776 of the family's 1533-position model. The record is from RNAcentral.
UACGAAGGGGGCUAGCGUUGCUCGGAAUUACUGGGCGUAAAGGGAGCGUAGGCGGACUGUUAAGUUAGAGGUGAAAGCCCAGGCUCAACCUUGGAAUUGCCUUUGAUACUGGCAGUCUUGAGUACGGAAGAGGUAUGUGGAACUCCGAGUGUAGAGGUGAAAUUCGUAGAUAUUCGCAAGAACACCAGUGGCGAAGGCGGCUCACUGGCCCGAUACUGACGCUGAGGCACGAAAGCGUGGGGAGCAAACAGG